RNAcentral lists this ribosomal RNA (810 nucleotides) under uncultured Pseudomonadota bacterium. RNAcentral's name for it is "bacterial SSU rRNA". It matches the Rfam family "Bacterial small subunit ribosomal RNA", at positions 1 to 798 of the family's 1533-position model. Lineage: Bacteria; Pseudomonadati; Pseudomonadota. The record is from RNAcentral.
AGGAGAGUUUGAUCCUGGCUCAGAUUGAACGCUGGCGGCGUGCUUAACACAUGCAAGUCGUACGUGAAAGCGCCUUCGGGCGCGAGUAAAGUGGCGCACGGGUGAGUAACGCGUGGAUAAUCUGCCUGGUAGUGGGGAAUAACGGCUGGAAACGGCCGCUAAUACCGCAUGAGCUUCAUAUUUAGCUUUAUGAAGGAAAGAGGGCCUCUACAUAUGCUCUUGCUACCGGAUGAGUCCGCGUCCCAUUAGCUAGUUGGCGGGGUAACGGCCCACCAAGGCGACGAUGGGUAGCUGUUCUGAGAGGAUGAUCAGCCACAUUGGAACUGGAACACGGUCCAAACUCCUACGGGAGGCAGCAGUGGGGAAUAUUGCGCAAUGGGCGAAAGCCUGACGCAGCGACGCCGCGUGAGGGAUGAAGGUCUUCGGAUCGUAAACCUCUGUCAGAAGGGAAGAAGUUAUGCCGCGCUAAUCAGCGGCGUAUUGACGGUACCUUCAAAGGAAGCACCGGCUAACUCCGUGCCAGCAGCCGCGGUAAUACGGAGGGUGCGAGCGUUAAUCGGAAUUACUGGGCGUAAAGCGCAUGUAGGCCGUGUGGCAAGUUAGGGGUGAAAUCCCAGGGCUCAACCUUGGAACUGCCUCUAAAACUACCAUGCUUGAGUGCGAGAGAGGAUAGCGGAAUUCCAGGUGUAGGAGUGAAAUCCGUAGAUAUCUGGAAGAACAUCAGUGGCGAAGGCGGCUAUCUGGCUCGUAACUGACGCUGAGAUGCGAAAGCGUGGGUAGCAAACAGGAUUAGAUACCCUGGUAGUCCCU